This 8045-nucleotide long non-coding RNA is filed under the name Zea mays. RNAcentral's name for it is "long non-coding RNA (ZMAY_LNC001462)". The record is from RNAcentral. Lineage: Eukaryota; Viridiplantae; Streptophyta; Magnoliopsida; Poales; Poaceae.
GUCGAGUUCCUUGCUGCGCGCUGAGUUUUCUGUCGUGCCCCUGGUUCCCGCGUGGAGCUCGUGAGCAUCUCCCUGUGCUCCUUUUGUCGCGACAGCUGUCGUGGCCGUAGGGCAGUCCGCACCAUAAGAGUUCACCCGACCGCAGUCUGUCCCCAGUCCACGCCAUAAAAAUCGCUCGGCCACGGUUCCGUCAAAUUGCGAAGCUCCCUGCCGUGCGCUUGCCAACUCGAAUUUCGCUAGUCGACGUUCUCUAACCCGUGUGCCAGUCGGCGUCGUGGAGUUUUUGUUUGAUCAGCUCGUCGUCGCGUCGUUUGCCGUCGAGUCGUCAAACACGUCAUCCUCUGCUCAAACCCCACCUCACCAGCUCGCUCCCGACUUCAGCUGAAAGUCGUCGUCGUUCCGCGCGUCAGCAAGAAAUCUCAAGAAUCAGAUGAAGACGAAGCUAGCAGCGCGAUAUUCCCCAAGCGCUCGACAAAUUGCCUGGAUCGGAAAAUCGCUACCGAUCUCGCAGAUUCGUGUCAGCUGCUGAAGCGGUAAGCUGAUGAAUUAUUCAGAAUAGUUCAAUCGAUGAAUAAAUAAAUUGCUAGUGCGAUACUUAUUAGGUGCUCGAUAAAUUGCGUAAGUCACGAAACUCCCGUCGACUUCGCAGUUCUUGCGAUUAUCGAGCCAGGUUCAGUUAUAGCGAGUUAUCUCGCUAUUCCGAUCAAGUAGUUAAAUUAGUGUACCGAGUAGAAUAUGAGUAGGCAUGUGUGUUAAUAAAAUAUUUUAAUCACUUAUAAAGAUGUAGUAUAAUUUAUAAAGCAAGAGAUAAGUUUAGAAUUCAAUUAAUUAAGUAGCUGAUAAGUUGUGUUUAGGCUAAUCAUGUUUAAAGUGUAUGAUGUGUUGUUCGUGAUGUUUGCGUUAGGUUCGUUUAAUCUAGAAAACCGUGAUUAUUAAGCUUAGUCAUACGUCGAUAGCUAGUGUUUUCGUAUAAAAUAGUACGACGCUUCGUCACUAAGUAUUUAAUUCUUGUCGGCGUAGCACUAUUUAGGUUCGUAAUAUUUUCGUUUAUAUGCAUUCAUGUGCAUAAUGCAUUUCAUUCAGGUACGUUAAUUAAUCGCGUGAUGCGGAAGACGAGCCAAGUCGACCCCAAGCGUGGGCUUCUUCGCAAGGCGAUGCUAAUGGACAAACCUGAAGAUGGUCGUCAAGUGCUCAUCGACUAACAACACUAACCUAGUGUUACUCAGGCAAGCCCCGGUGCAUUUGCCACCUUCCUUGAUGUUUUUAAAAUCUUUCUCACUUGCUUGCUGCAUUAGGUGAUAGGAGUUGAUUGCUAAAACAAUUCCUGCAUUACCUUCCUUGAAUUUGAUUACCUUCCUUGAUCACCCGUUUUACAAAAGAUUUUUGAUGCUUAGCAUUGCUUUAGAAAACAAAAUGUUUUGUUUUUACAAAAGAUGAUGUGGCAAAGUGGGUGGGAUGUUUUCGAAAAUAAAACUUGAUGGUGAAUCCAUCACGGCCGUGAUGGAUUCAACAUCGGAAAAGAUGUACCUCUGCCAGGUACCAAGUUUUUGGGUUGAAAAGAUUAAGCUGAGACCGGGCGGGUGACUUGCACGAGAAAGGAGUCUCGGUGUAGUGUCUCCGUCUGAGUCGAUUAAGGACCUUGUCGAUGUAGGCUUGAUGAUCGAGGACCCUUUAACUGGUCACAUGCCUCGUCAUGGGUAAGCCUUGCCUCGGGCAGACUAAGGCCGGAAUAAGAUAACACGAAAUGGGCGUGGAGCGGUGGCGAGAGUAGCGUGUACCCUCCGUGGCAAGAGGCUGGACGGUGGUGUAUCUGUGCUCUCGGUUUGCGUGAACCUGAUCCGGUCUUAAGAACCCCGGUGGCGGAUUGACAUAUGCAAGGGUUAAGUGCUACAUAUGUCGUGUGAUUGGAGAUCCUCAGCUGAGUAUAAUCGAUUCGGAUCGCCGUACCUUCGCGGUUAUGAAGACUUGGUCACUACCCUACACGUAGCAUUCCACUAAAGAUGAUGGGUUUGUUAAGAAAUUGGCUAGUGCAGGUCAAGUGAUUGAACUAGGGUAGAAAGAACUCUAGUGCAGGUAAUUUUACUUAACCUGACAAGUAAAACUGGAUUUUAAGGAUCCACUUUAGUAAGCUUUUCUGCAAAACAGAGUCUUUGAUUCUUGAUAAGCCAUACCUUGAAUCCCUCUAGCCAGCAUACCCUUGAGAGUCUUUUCCUUAGUCGGGUAAGUCUUGCUGAGUAAUUCCAUACUCAGGGUUUUAUUCCCUGUUGUUUUUCAGGUUCUAACUUUGUGCUGUUGUUGAUGGUGUUAAGUGCCGGUGGGCUCGGCCUUCUUAUAGGUCUAAGUAACCCUUCUAUACUUCUUAUUGAGGAUGGUCACUUAAGCUAGCAUAUAUUUCAAACUUAUACUUUUGUAAUCACUCCGAUAAAAUAAUAUAAAAUUUUUGUAACUUGUAAAAUUUGGUAGUAAGAUUUCCGCUGCAAUAAUAUUGGUGUGUGUGAUUUGUGUUACUUAAUCUCGCGGUUCUGGUUGAAAGUGGUUUAUCCGAUGUCCUUGGGGCAAUCGGACAGAUCCUGUUGAGUUAUCUGGUGCACAUGCAUGGUUGACUGAGGUCUUUGGGACAAGGACAGGUGCAUGUGGGCCCAAUAACUUGGAGGUUCUGCCACAGGCUGGUAUCGGAGCUGGAUUAAGUAUCUACGGUCACAUACGUAUUUUCAAAACAAAAGUUUUGGUUUUGAAAAACCUAUUUUCAACUAAACACAUUGUUUGGCUUUGAAAAACAGUUUUGAAAAACUAUAAUGCUAGCGACAUCCUCUAUUAAGCCCUAAAGUAAGGACUAUCAGGUGGCUUAGUUGAAAACCAUAACCCACAACCGGGUGGGUAUUGCAUACAUGUGUAGUGUUAUUUUUGAGGCCAUUCAGUUUUGAAUGGAUCGACGCUCAAGGUAAGGUGAGAUGUGAGAGCAUGACCGAACAACCGUCGGUCUAGGGAAGAGUGUAAAAAGCGCUUGAUUAUAUACAUGUUACACAUGUAUAUACGAAAGCUGCGAUGUGGAGUAAUUACUUUUUCUGGAAUUCAGUACCCCAUGGAUGUGUAUGGGUAUACAGACAUGGGAAUACUGAGAAAUGUAAUGUACUUGUAACGACGCACCUACGCUCAGGUAAGAAGGUGAGUUACCAUAAUGAGUUGCCCUAUGGUUAAAGUGUGGCAACAGCGCCUAUGCGUGGCUCGGCGCUUAAUGAUGAGCUGGCCUCCAUAUAGCAAUAUAUGGAGUAUAAACUGUGAUAAACUGUCAUGUGUGAACUGCAUCAUUGGGAAUUGGGCUGUGAUGGAUUUUUCUGCAGGUACACUAACCUCGAAAACGUAUGUGUAGUUGACGACUAGCAAAAUACCGUAAGAGCUAUACGUAUGCCACCGAUAUAGAACGCUAUUGCCACAUUUGGUUGGCAAAAUUAGUGAGGACGUGUAGGACGAGCAUGCAUCCUGAUUGUUGCAUCAUGUUUGUCACCCAUACACCCAAAAUGCUUCUCUCAUCUUUAUUCCAGUAACCAUUGAUUGUAGAUAAUAUGGUGUAAUGCUGAAUUAUGAACUUCGAUGAAAUAGGUGUCCUCCAUUCUUUAGGUGACCUCUUAGGGUGCUUUAUAUGUGCUCUUGUGCUUAAUGUGUCGAUAGAAGGUUAGAGACUUGAUUGCCUAAACCCAAAACUAGGCCAUAUUCUUAUUUAGUGAACCAUGCCCAAGUUUGAAUUGUCCAUUAUUACUCCAUGACAAAGCCCAUACAAAUAAAUGCGUAGACAAUUUCCUUAUUGGACAUAAAAUGUACCUAAGCUUAAAACAAGAAUCUCGAGUCAUGUUUCCUUCUAAAACCAUUCCCUUGUUCGAUUUGUGCAAGCUGAUGUCUCUAUUCCAGUUUGCCUAUUUUUAAAGGAUCGCCAUGUUGUUUUAUGAACCUAACCUAGGAAAGGAAUGCCCAAUAGAUUUCUUGAAUUUGAUGUCUUUGGUUUCCCCGUAUCUAUCGAAGGCAUAUCAACUUAAUCCUUGACCUUGUAAUCUCUUUGAUGGGCAUAGAAUUAUGCUUGGGGCUGAAUUAACAGUCUUCCAUCAUACUCCUUUCAUCAAGUUUAGGUUAUGGCCAUGUCUUGUUCAUUUCCGUGGGCUAUAAUCUCUUUGACUCUCUACUUGUAACCCUUCUUACAGGUGGAGUAACUCUUUGUAUAUUGUCAUCCUUGACUAGUCUAUUUGUGUCAUGUGAGAUUUCUUAUUGGUUACGUCUGGUAUUGGCGUUAUGACUAAAAUUGAUGAUGUCGCGAUAAAACCGAGGGCCUCCUGUGGAUGCAUACACAUGGUUGUGCUACUCGGUACACGCUAGUAUCACAGUUAGUAGUCAUAAUCCAUUAUGAGAUUAUAUUAAUAAGUUAUCUCUACACAAAUUGUUCUUACCACGUGAGAUUCAUUAUUGGUGCCAGUUUUGUAAUGGUGUCAUGGUUAAGGACUUAUGGUACCGCGGCGAAACUAAGAGCCUCCUGUGAAUGCGCACACAGGAUUUUGCUGCUUGGCGCAUGCCGGUAUCGAAGUCUCUAGUCAUGAUCCGUUAUGGAAUUACACUGAUGUGUUAUCUUCCGUGGACUUUCCCUUAAAACGAUUUCGGUGUUGUUUGUCGAAGUGACCAAGCAACAUCUAUCAUCUUUGUUGGAUCAAAAGGGCAUACCACGUUCAUGUGUGGUCUCUUUUCCCUUGAUCUUGGUAGUGACUCCUUAUACAAGUUCCCUUUACGUCCUUUUUGUAAAGGUGAAGCCUUGGAGCUUUUAGUGUUGAGAGACAACUAAUUAGCUCUCAAAAUGGAGAUCUGUUUCCCCUGCUGCUGAAAUGCAGGAGUUUGUUCAUUCGCUCUCUCAUUUAGUCCAUAUAUUCCCUAACCAAGUCUGUUCAUCUCGCAUGAAGAAACGGAUGAACAACCUGACCAAAUGAAUUUCUAAUCACAUACAUGAUCUCGUGUUAACCAGAGUGAACUCUCAACCUUUGGCUUACAGAUGGUACUGAGAGGACUUACCCAAUGUCAAAAGAACUUUAACAAGUUGGUUUUACUAACUUGUAACUGCCCCAUGAACAAAGGCUGAGUUUAGAGAUCGUUUUGUCGAGUUAUCUAAACUCACUUUGGUUCAAACCAUCCUAAAGAAAGUACUUACACGGAUCAAGUUAAGUCAACCAAUAACAACCUAAUUAUCGCUCUAGUCACGCCUCGACCGCCUCACGUGUGCUUUUUCAGCGUGUGUGAUCAUGUCGAUCCAUGUCUAGUGCUUGCUAAAAUGGAUUGGUUGCAAAGACAACAUCUACAGAUCCCUCCACUGGUGAUUCUCUCGAAUCUAUAUCACCUUUCGGGGACAUGGAUUUUCUGGCUAGCCACGGGUCAACUGUGAUGUUAUUCGACAUUCACACCCGUCUCCUGUGCUAUGGAUUUACGGUAACCACUUGUUGGUAAACCUCUUUCUGUGUGUUUUACCCAAGAGGUUGCAUCUGAUUCUGUUUGGGGAAGAUCGCGUAAUUGCCACUUGCCCAAUAGACUCAGAUAGUACAGUGUCAUCAGAGAAAGCCAACUGCACCCAUGGAACCUUAUGUGUUCCUCUGGCAGAUAUUGUUUCUAUUGGUGGACAUUUCUGAAUUAGCCUAAGACGAUACAUGUUAUGUCCACUAGAGAAACCUCAUCCUGAGACACUUGUCUUCGCUCAGAACUGCCUUAUGAUUACCGCUGAUAUGGACGUGGGUUACAUGCUUGUCUACUCUUGAAAGUCUUUCGCUCCGAAUCUCGGGACGAGAUUCUUUUAAGGGGGGAGGGCUGUAACACCCAAGGUGUUUAUAUUUCGCUCGACAACGAGUACGGAUUUAAGCACGUAAUAUCAGUGGAUAAACGGACGCUAAAUUUUAAUUAUUUUCGUCUAUUGCGAUUUUUAUAUCGCAUCUGUACGUUUGUCGCGAAUGCGACAUCGUUUUAUUUUUAUCCAUCCGGGCCUGUCCUAAAUUUUCGUGAUGUUCCGAAGAUAGUCGUUCCGAAAAUCGAUGCCUCCGGUGAUUAUUUAAAAUUCAUCGCUCACGCGAAUACGAGUUCGGAAGCUCGACUCACUCUAUGAUUUUGUCCGAAACAAGAUUUAUUAGAAUUCGGCGACAAAAGUUUUAAUGCAAAAUUAAAUCGGACCAUACUCAGAAUCUAAGAAAAACUAGGCAUAGAAUUAUAAACUGAGCCGUUUUCUAGUUUAACCUGAUAUCGUUUAGCUUCAUCCGGAAACAUCAGGCUAAAACUCGAACCUUGAUAAUUUAAUCUAUUCCUUACCAGAUAAAUUUUUGUCUGGCUUCUAAGUAAACCAAAGCUGAUUACAAUAUUGAAGUUGAAAUCAGUUCAAUCCGGGUUGUCGUUUCUCGGCCGGAUUCAAAUCUUCAAAUAUAAAUAAAGGGUAAGAAUUCAUCUGCCACUAGAAAUAUUCAUCGGAUCCAAUGGAAUACAGUCCGAAAUACUGUUGUUCACAUCAUUCUAAUUUGUUCUGGUUACGUCUCGCCUCGAUCUAAAAAUCUUGGCUCAAAAAUAUCUGCGAAAUUCUUUAAAGAAAUUAAAAAGAAGAAAACAGAAAAAUCUAAAAAUAAAAAUCUCAAUCGGCUCUAUCCCCAGCCGCCCCCGCUGCUGAUUUGCUUCUAGCGCCUUCUCUCUCCUUAUCCCUUCACGCGCAGUGAGCAGAUUUUUCCUUCAGUGGCGGCCUUAUCCCCUGGUCGCACUUCCUUCUUCUUGGCACAGCCAUUACCGCCCGGCUCUCUGGUGCUAAGCCGCUCGGCCUCUAGCUCGUCGAAUCCCUUCCAUGUCUCGCGCUCGAGCUCCUCCUGCCUCACGUACUCCGCCCGGCGCCCGGCGCUCAGACCGCACCCUCUUCAACUCGCCAGCGCGUCCUCCCAUGCCCAGUAGCCUGCGCUGGCCGAGCUCUCCUAUGGAGCGUCAUCUUCCUGCUCCCGGUUUUGGAGCUUCCAUGGCGCCGUGGUUUCCCAUCUCCCUUUCAUCCCCUUGUUCCCUACGCCCAGGUUCCAUUUUCCCCAAGCGUGGAGUCCUGCGCGUCCAGCCGUCGAAGCCCCAGCUUGGCUCCAUCUCCCUGUUCUUGAUUUCUCCCUCUCUCUUUCCCUCAAUCGUCGCUCCCUGCUUGCUCCCGUCGGCGUCGCGCCCUGCCUCUCCUACGCGCGUGGCCAGGGCUCGGGGUCCUUCGCUGGCUGCUGCAGCGGUGUCCAUCUCCCUGUUGUGAGUCUCCCUGGCAACUGCGGCGCCCCGGUUUCUGUUCGCCAUGGCGCACGCUCUGCUCGCCGUCGCAAGCCGCGGCUCUCUCCAGCUCGCUCGGUUCUCCCAUGGCGCUCUUCUUUCCCUGCGCCCUGGACCUUCCCAGCUUGGAUUUCCCUCUCCCAUGGCGUUCGGCUGCUCGGCGCCCAACUCCUGUGCUCGCGCCGUCGUGCUGCUGCUCGCCCAUACCGCGACCUCGCCGAUCCGUGUCCUCUGCCCCAGCUCGCGGAGCUUCCUCUCCCAUGGCCGGUGAUGCUUCAGCCUCCUGCGUCGCGCACCUAUUUCCUUGCUCGUGUCGCAGAUCGAAGCUUUGCGCGUGUCGAGCUCCCUGACCGCCGCGCCGUGGAUUGUCCUGCGCGCGCGUGUCUCCUUGCUCACGCGUCGCCGUCGAGUUCCUUGUUGCGCGCUGAGUUUUCUGUCGUGCCCCUGGUUCCCGCGUGGAGCUCGUGAGCAUCUCCCUGUGCUCCUUUUGUCGCGACAGCUGUCGUGGCCGUAGGGCAGUCCGCACCAUAAGAGUUCACCCGACCGCAGUCUGUCCCCAGUCCACGCCAUAAAAAUCGCUCGGCCACGGUUCCGUCAAAUUGCGAAGCUCCCUGCCGUGCGCUUGCCAACUCGAAUUUCGCUAGCCGCCGUUCUCUAACCCGUGUGCCAGUCGGCGUCGUGGAGUUUUUGUUUGAUCAGCUCGUCGUCGCGUCGUUUGCCGUCGAGUCGUCAAACACGUCAUCCUCUGCUCAAACCCCACC